UGCAUUCGCACGAGAACGCUUCUGCUGGCAGGGGCUAGUAAAGGGGCGCGGGAAGUGGCGUGUGGGUUUCUACCCUUGGAUUCGGGAUAAAAAAAAGGAAGGAGUGCUAAUACCGGAUGAAGUCAUUUAGGCUGUGGUUUACAUGAUGAAAGGUGGCCUCUCCGAGGAAGCUACCGUUUGGGGAUGAGCCCGCGUACCAUUAGCUUGUUGGGGGGGUAACGGCCUACCAAGGCGACGAUGGUUAGCUGGUCUGAGAGGAUGAUCAGCCACACUGGAACUGACACACGGUCCAGACUCCUACGGGAGGCAGCAGUGAGGAAUUUUGCGCAAUGGGGGGAACCCUGACGCAGCAACGCCGCGUGAGUGAAGAAGGCCUUCAGGCCGUAAAGCUCCGCCGAGUGGGAAGAACCUUCGUAUGUUGAAUAUGCAUACGGACUGACGCGUACCACAGAAGGAAGCACCGGCUAACUCCGUGCCAGCCAGACUCCGGUAAUACGGAGGGUGCAAGCGUUAUUCAGAAUUAUUGGGCGUAAAGACCGCGUAUGCGGCUUUGCAAGACAGCUGUGAAAUCCCGGGGCUCCACCCCGGAAGAGCAUUUGAUACUGUGGAGCUUGACUAUGGGAUAGGGAAGUGUAAUUCCUGGUGUAGCGCUCAAAUGCGCAUAUAUCUGGAUGAACCCUCGGUUGGCCCAGGCCGCUUCCUGGACCAAUACUGACUCUCAUGCCCCGAAGGCGCGUAGAAGCAAACAGGAUUAUAUACCCUUGUUCUCCACGCAAUAAACGUUGCUCACUAUGUGUAGCGGGGUCUUGACCCCUGCUGUGCCGGAUUUCAACGCAUUAAAUUAUCCCCUGGGGGACUACGAUCGCUUAAUUAAAACUUCACAUGGUUGGUCCCUC
Molecule: ribosomal RNA, 896 nt
Filed under: uncultured Desulfococcus sp.
Lineage: Bacteria; Pseudomonadati; Thermodesulfobacteriota; Desulfobacteria; Desulfobacterales; Desulfococcaceae
Description: bacterial SSU rRNA
Rfam family: Bacterial small subunit ribosomal RNA
Source: RNAcentral